GUCCCAUCAGAAUCAAACAUCAGAUACUCUGAUAAACAGAAACUAGAAACUAUGAGCACUGUCCUGAAUCACAGAGGAGGAGGAGGAGGAGGAGGAGGGAGGGAGUUCUUCCUCAGCGCUCACCGCUGCCCAGAAGUCGACCUGCUGCCUCAUCAUGACUCUGAGACACAAUUUCCUCCACCGUGUCCACUAAUUCCUGCUGAGAAGAUCUCUGAGUUGCCCUGUACAAGUCAGUCUGAGGCAAAUUACCUGGACAUCUCCUCCACCCGUUGCUCUGUGGAAGAGGCGGAGGAGGAAGAGGGGAGUAUCAGUGACUGGUCGGAGGAAGAUCUUUCUCUCCACUUCUCUCCUUCAGUCAUCCUCCCAUCAGAUGAUGAAGAGUCAGAUCUAGAGAUUGGUUUCAAGUGUGUUGACAUUAAUGUGGAACCACUGGUGAAAGGUCAGGAGGGGGGGGGUUUAAAGAUGGUCCCAAAACGACAGAUUCAACUGAAGAGGAAAGACGCUAAGAACAUCAUUAACCAGGAGAAACCUAAGAAACUACAGGAUGGACCUGCUGAAGAGGGAGUUGCUAACUGUGAAGUGUCAGCCAAUGAGUUGCUCCGUCCCACCGUCCUUCACCGCCCUGAUCUGUUGCUACGGCAACAUAGUAUGCCCGCCUCCCUACACACACGCUCAACGACCAGCAGUGAUGCCGACAGCUACAGGAUCUACAGGGGCCUGGUUGCUGGGGCCAGUCAAGGCUUUCAGGUUGGAGAAAACUCGCGGCAGCGACUGCAGAAGUCCUUCUCUUUGGACGAAACUAAGACAAAGAUGGCAUCCUGCAUCAUUAAGAGUGUUCUGUCAAAGAAAAUGUUGGUGGAGCAAAACAACUCUAAAACCUCGUAUCUGCAGAGGAAACCUGCUGUGUUACCCAGCCUCCCACAGCCCGCAGACCAGCAGAGGGUGAGGGAGGGGGGAGGAGGUAAGAUGGGUGGAGGUGUGUUUAAAGGUCCAGUUCAUGUGGUGAGGGACAUGAGGAGUUUAGUUAAAAACACAUACAGCCUCCCGUUCUCCACAGCUCCAACAACAACAACAACUGAGAACAACAAGCCAGCAAACUUUAAGGUGAUUGGUCAGCAGGACAGUCCCCCCCCCACCUAUCAGCAGGCUGUGGGGGUCCAAGAUUAUGAUGAAACAAAGAGGAGCUGUCAAGCCUCUGGAAGACAUGUCACCAAAGUCACAGCAUCUCUCAGCCAAUCACAGGACAGGAAACAGAGCAACAGAUUCAGUCAUCCAAUCACACAGCAGAGACGAGGCAGCGAUCCAAUAAUAAGCAGAAGAAGAGUGGAUGAUGUCACCUGGCCUGUCAUGUUGUCAGAUCCGCCCACCAACUCAUGUGUCAGCAGUGACUUUUCAGAGCUCAGCCAAUCAGAGAGAGCCCCGUCCUGCCUUUCUGUGUUGAUGCAUCCUCCCCCUCAGCCCGCCUCCACCUCCAGACACCUCCAGGGGACUCCAUCUUUGCUUUCUGCCCAGGAACAGAGCUCCAUUCUGGGUGUACCCUCUCAGUUUGCCCUGAAUUCCUCCCAGCAGAUCCUCCAUUCCUGUUUCUACACCUCCACUGCCCUACCUGCCUUCCCCCUCACCUUGCACCCUCACCUGGGUAAGGUCAGCUACGUGCACAGCCCCCUGAGCUACAUGGAGACCCAGCUGCAGCCCCCGCAACCUGUCCCCACCCUCCACCUGCCGAGUAGGUCUGAGGAGAACCAGAGUGGGUCAACUGGAAACUCCUUCGACCAGCAAGACUGCUUCAUCAAGACCUGCCCACCUCACCAGACCAGGACAGCAGGAGACCAGCAGGGCAACUGCAACACAGUGACACCUGCAACACAGGAGCAACAUGAGCAACAGCAACGUCAGCAGCAGCACUUUGUGUACGGUGUUCAGGGUUUCUCACCUGCUCAGGUGGGUAAUGACUUUGUUGUUGAUGUCACAGGUUCUUCUGCAGCACCUGGGGCCCUCCUCAGUGGCCCCUCCCUCUGUCACAUGAUGUUAAAAAAUCCUAAAAGUGUGGGGUGCUUCUAUGUGGACACGCCCCCGAAGGCUCAGAGGAAGAUGCUGCUGGAUCCAGAAACCGGUCAGUACGUCUGGGUGUUCCUACCUGCAGCCCGCACCACCCCCAACACCGCCGUGUUCCCAGUGCGCUUUGCAAACCCUGCCCCCUUUGUGAUAAACCACACCCCUUCCACCACAAACCCUGCCAUCCUAUCAAUGAUGCAGUUCCAGCCAACGGUUGCUGUGUCCUCCCUGUACGCUGCCCCAUGUCUGCCCUUCACUCUACACACACCAUCGGUCAACUUCACACAUACAGCACCGUGA
This 2355-nucleotide long non-coding RNA is filed under the name Dicentrarchus labrax (European seabass). Its description in RNAcentral is "lncRNA (ENSDLAG00005034015.1)". Lineage: Eukaryota; Metazoa; Chordata; Actinopteri; Moronidae. The record is from RNAcentral.